Molecule: long non-coding RNA, 39332 nt
Organism: Pan troglodytes (chimpanzee)
Lineage: Eukaryota; Metazoa; Chordata; Mammalia; Primates; Hominidae
Exons: 2
Source: RefSeq, a predicted model, not a curated record
UUUUUUUUGGAGAUGGAGUCUCGCUCUGUUGCCCAGGCUGGAGUGCAGUGGCGCGAUCUUGGCUCACUGCAACCUCCACCUCCCAAGUUGAAGCCACCACACCCGGCUAAUUUGUUUGUAUUUUUAGUAGAGACAGGAUUUCACCAUGUUAGCGAGGUUGGUCUUGAUAUCCUGACCUUGUGAUCCGCCCACCUCGGCCUCUCAAAGUGCUGGGAUUACAGGCUUGAGGCACCGCGCCAUGCCGUUCACGGAAAUUUCUUGAGAGGACCGCAGAAUAUGAUUUUUUGUAAGCCACCAACUUGAUCAUUUAGACAUAGAGCAUGUCUAAUUAAAUUAAUAUCUACUUCUCUUUUGUGCUUUUUACAUCUUAUGUUGAACAAAGCAGCUUAUGGAGAAAAUUUUGCUUUAAGACUUUGUGAAGUUUCCUAGGGGUUUAUCCAACAGUAUAUUUCUAUUCUGUCCUUUUGCAAGUUUAGCAAGCUUGCAAAAUUAAAAUAAAAGUGGUUUUAAAAGUCUUACAACAUUUCUGGGCUUUUUUCAGAGUCCUUGAAUGUUUAGUCCUAAAACAGUUGAGUUGAAGGACAAACAUUUUUGUCACGUUUGUAGUUAGUCCAUAAGUAUGUAUUGAGCCAUGAAAUAGCAUCCUUGUCAAAGCAUGUUGGGACAGUAGUGCAGGAUAUUAAUUCAGUACCAUGGCUGUAUCUUGGUGAGGCACAUAAAUUUUACUAUGCUGCCCAAAUCACUUAACUCAUCUAUCUGACCAGAAAUGAAGCAAGCUUCCAGAAAUUGCACAAGAGCAGUAUAGAAUGUACCAUGACUACACAAUAUUUUAUUUGCAAAUCUACUGUGUCAAGACAUCUUACACUCUCAGGCAGUAUCUUUCUUUAGUAACAUUUUUAUCCAAAAUAAAAUUUUCGGAAUCUUAUGUUUCUGGUUUUUUGUACAAUAGAGGCUUCAUUAUCUAUAGUGCAUCAUGGCAUAUUGUGUUUGUUGAAUGCUCCUUUCUCCUUCCUAUAUAGGAAAUUCAAUGAACAAGAGAGACAAUUAUGCAAUCCAUAAAAAUUCAUACAUUUGCUUGCAAUGAUAUUAAACUGGACGGUCUUAUGCUUCUUAUUCUCUCUGCAUCUGGAUAAAAUGGAAACAUUUUCAAAUUUCUUGAAGCAUCUUUGAAAGUGUUUUUCCACACUGGGAAACAGGGAGACACAGUCUCUACAAAAAAUAAAGAAAAUUAGCUGAACAUGGUGUCACAUGCCUGUCCUAGCUACUCCUACUUGGGAGGCUGAGGUGGGAGGACUGUUUGAGCCCUAGAAGUUGAGACUGCAGUGAGCCAUGAUUGCACCACUGCACUCCAACUUGGGUGACAGUGCGAGAACCUAUCUCAAAAAAAAAAAGUGUUUUUCCAUUGGAAAUAAAUAUUUAUUAUUAGAAGAACAAUCUAAAAGUAUGAAUGUUUGAAUAUCAUAAAAAGCGUAACAAGUUAUGCUAAUCUACCCCUUUGUGGGAGCAUACAUGUUGUCACAAUGACACUACAAAGAUGGCAAGAUAGUGCUUCCCUCCCUUACCUGAUGUUGAGUUGUAUUCAUCACAGAAAUCUUAACAACCAACUAGAAAACAAUGAUGGAUUGCACCUUUCCUGGCCACAAGGUGUUGUCCUCAUAGUCUUGGUAAUAAAUUGUAUUUUCCUUUUUUUUUUUUUUCUUUGAGACAGAGUCUCGCUGGUCUUGAACUCCUGACUUCGUGAUCCACCUGCCUUGGCCUCCCAAAGUGCUGGGAUUACAGGCAUGAGCCACCGUGCCCAGCCAUUGUGUCUUUCUUUUAGUGCCAAGAAAAGAUUUCCUAAGCAGUAGAUAUAAAAGAGAACCUAUUGUUAGAAUGAACAUAAGUCAAAAAAGCUUUUGCAUAUUUCAAGUAUUAUCUUAUAGAAGGUUUUAUUCUUUCUAGACAGAAAGAAGAGAGGCUUUGUGCUAAGUGUUUGAUUUCUAGCUCUUACAUCUAAAACAAAGCAAUGACAAAUGAAAAGUUUAUGUGUAGCCUUUAGAGUAGCACCAUAAGGGUGGGAAAGGGGUGGAAGCUAUUCGGGAUAUCAUACAUAUAAAAUCAAAACCCAUCAAAAAAUGGGUAUUAACAUCUGUGAAAUUAGCAUCAGUUUAGUCAUAUGGUGACAUAAAUAUUUGUCACAACUACAGUGCUAGAAGCAUAGAUCGUACAGUGUCUUAAAUGCAUGUCCUUUAACUUUUGGUACCUAUAGCUGUGUAGUAGAGGGUAGCGUUGGUGGUAUUAGGGCAUGAUGGAAGAUGACUGGCACAGCAUCACGAUCUAGUGGUUAAGAACAGCUACUGGAGUCAAAGCUACAUGAGUUUGAAUCCUGCCUCCACCAGUUAAACCAGUGGGCCCUUGGGCAAGAUAAUUAAUCUCAAUGUUUGUCAGUUUCUUCAUCUUUAAAGAGGAGGAUAAGCAUAGUACUUACCUUAGAGGGUUGUUAUGAGGAUUAAAUGAGUUAAUAUUUGCAAAGAACUUAGCACAGUGUCUGGCCCAUAAUAAACCCUAUGUAAGGGAUUAUUGAAGACAACAUACAUAUAAGUAGGGAAUAGAGGAGCAGAGGCAUGUGUUCCUGAUAAAGGAGAUCCUUUAACCCCCACCCGAAACCACCCAUUUCCUUCACUUCUAGAUUCAUAUGCUUUGUUCCUGUAUCUUUCUUUCUUUUUUUUUUUUUUUUUUUUUUUUUGAGACGGAGUCUCGUUCUGUCGCCCAGGCUGGAGUGCAGUGGCGCGAUCUCGGCUCACUGCAAGCUCUGCCUCCCGGGUUCAAACAAUUCUCCUGCCUCAGCAUCCCUGAGUAGCUGGGACUACAGGCACAUGCCACCAGGCCUGGCUAAUUUUUUGUAUUUUUAGUAGAGACAGGGUUUCACCAUGUUAGCCAGGAUGGUCUCGAUCUCCUAUAUCUUAUAAACUCAUUCUAGAUCCCAUGUCCGGGGAAUUCCAAGAACUAAGACAUUCAGCUCACUCUCCUUGCUCUGACUGGGAUUUUUUAAAAAAUCAAAUGCUAAAUAUAUUGUUAGCAUGGCUGGCAGCAUCUCGUAUCGAUCCAUUAGUGUUAUAUCAUGAAUCUUUCAUUAUACUAACAUUUUGUCUUUCUGAAAGACUGUCAACUAUGAUUUCAUCAUGAAAAUCACCAUCAGCUGUAGAGCUAUGCAAAUGAGAAUUCAUCUGCAUGCUUUUGGCCUAAAUGGAAUUUGAUGGAGACCUAAUUAAAAUGAGAGAAAUUGGACUAGAUAAUCUCUAAGGUCCCAUUUAACUUUAAAGAUCAAUGAGUCCGUAAAACUAGACUGUGAGUCUAAAAGAACCUUAAUGUCCUCAGUCUUUUAGUACCUUUUCUGUCUGGAUUUCAUGGGUUGGUCUGAUAGUUGAGAGAAAGGGCAGAAGCCCAUAAGUGUACCCUAGGAAACCUACCAGUGUCACUCCCAUGAAGCUUUGGCUACUUAGCAACUUAUACCAGCAACUUAUAACUGGUACCUUCUGCUAUUGGAACUACAUCUACCAGAAUUGAAGAAGGGACAAGAGGGGACAAGUCAGGAGUCCAGAGCCUGCAAACUCCUCUAAGAUCUCAACAGUCUUUGCACCACACCCCGGCAGGGCUGACUGCAGGGUCAUGUGACCUCUGCAGUCACACAGGGCCCCAUGCAUAGAAGGGCCCCUCAUUUGGUUUAAUGUUCUGCUGUUACCAUCUUGAAAUUCCUAAUAAUUAUUGAAUGGAGGGCCCACAUUUUCAUUUUGUCCUGGACCCUGCAAAUGAUGUAGCUGGUCCUGCACUCAGGGGAAGCCAGUUCCUUGUAGAGCCAUGACUUGCUUUGUGAAUUCACCUUCAUUGGUGACUUGGUGUUAUAUACGUAAGACAACAGCCAUGUGUAAAUCACUGAAAGGACCUUGGAAACAGUCCCUUGAGUAUCUACAAUCUACAGUCCACAUCCUCUGUGCCCCUUGCUUUUGGGGAAGGUGAACCCCCAAAAAAGAAAGUGUGUUUGUUUUAUUUUAUUGUUUAUUGAUUCUGACAACAGCAUUAUAAAGUAAGGCAAUAAUAUGACCCUUGAUGUUUGCAGAGUUACUGAUACAGUGGGUGUAUUUCCUUAUGACAUCUAUUGAAGCAAAUACUUUAAUUAGUUUUUUAAAAAGUAUUGUGGUACUGAGGAAUAAUAGGAAAUUGGGACAAGGUACAAUUCUUGAUAUGAUAGACUUGCAGAUCUUUUUUUUUAAAUGUCUUAAUUAAGCUGUUUCUUAAUUAAAUAUUUACAAUGCUCAUAAUAGAUUAGUUCAUUAAACCACUACUAUUAAAACCAUUAAAGCUAUUUCUUGUGUAGGUUUCACCUAGGGUACUUACUCAGAAAAGGAAAUUAGGAGAGGUAGUAAUAAAGCCUAUCAUUUAUCAUCAGGGAUUUUAUAUCUGCCAACAUUUUAUUUUGUCAUUAUUCCCAUUUGUCUCUGGGAAGAACACUAAAGCUGACUGGAGUCUAGUCUUAUAAAAUUGCAUAGGUUAAAUCCUCCUUUGCUAAUGCAAAUGUAAAUAUUUUACAUUUAACCUUGUAAAGUAUAUACACAUAUAUGUAUAUAUAUAUAUUUCUUGUGUUUAAAAAUUAUUUAAUGUGAAGUAUUAUGUUGGUGCAAAAAUAAUUGCGGUCUUUGCCAUUACUUUCAAUGGCAAAAACCACAAUUACUUUUUCGCCAACCUGAUAUUUCUGGGCAAUUGAAAAUAAGAGUGCAUGCAUGCGUUUUCACUUGUUCUUAGGCUACUUCGUCCAAUAAUAUAUUUGAGUAGUUCUGAACAGGAACACAAGUAAGGAGAUUUUUUUUUUUUUUUUUUUUUUCUGAUGCAGGGUCUUGCUGUGUCACCCAGGCUGGAGUGCAGUGGUAUGAUCUUGGUUCACUGAAGCCUCAACUUCUGUGGCUCAAGCCAUCCUCCCACUUCAGCCUCCUGAGUAGCUGGGACUACAGAUACAUGCUACCAUGCCCAGCUAAUUUUUUAAAAUUUUUUGAAGAGACAGAGUCUCGCCAUGUUGCCUGGGCUGGCCUCAAACUCUCCGGCUCAAGCAAUCCUUCCACCUCGGCUUCCCCAAAUGUUGAGAUUACAGGUGUGAGCCGCCGAACAUGGCCAGCAGGCAGAUUAUAAUCAGCCAAUUCUAGGCCAUGCUGUAAGGAAGUGGACCCGUCUUUGACAGCAGGGUCCUGGCACCCAAGUGGACACAGGUGGUGGUCCUGUAACAGUGGCUUGAUUACGCUGUUUUGUGUGUCUAAUCUGAACACAGGGAAGUAUAAGAUGUGUAAGCAGCUUUAUCAAAGAGUUAUAACAAGUUUUACUUUCCAGAUAUGAAAUGCUGAAUUUGUAUAAAUAAAUUAAACCUUAAUAGCACAGUCAUUAGUAUUCAGAAAUUUAAGCUAUAAGAUCACUCUGGAGAAGCCCUCCUGUAUCCAUACUUGAAUAUAAUGAUUUACUUGUGCCUCUGUUUACCCUUAAACCACAAGCUCAUCCAGGGAAAGGGUAAUGUCUUAUUCAUUGCAGACAUGCCAGCUGCCCUAGCAUGUAGCUCGUAUACAGGAGGUGCACAAUGAAUGCUUGCUGAGUGAAUGAAUGAAUGAAUGAAUGAAUGAAUAAUAUUUUAACAUUAACAGCUACCCAGUAUUGGACUCUGUUGUAUUCCUGGCACUGUGCUAAGGACUCCAUGUAUGUUCGUACUUAAUGCCCAGGCUUCUCAGCAGGUACUACCAAGGUCACUGUUAGCACAAACAGCACCUUGCUGUGAUUUAGAAAAUUCACAUCAGUCCUCUCUGGGAUGAUGAAUUAGAAAAAGUUGCCUCUUCUGUGACAAUGCAGCCCCGUAGUUGUGCGGCUUGGCGAAUGUAGCUGGGGCUGAAUUUCAGCCUCCACACACCUCGUUGGUUGCUUGCUGUGUGUAUGGCACAGACUACAUAAUGGUACGUGUUGACUAUGCUUACCGUUACUAACCUACUUUAGGCGGAAGAAACCUCCAAGGCUGGGAGAGGUUAAGUGGCGUGUGCAAGGCACAUACCCACUACUUGUAGCUAUGUAGGUUUGAGAGAGCAGCAUGACUCUCAUGACUUAUGAGACCCCAGUGACUGCAGGACCUCCUCCCUAAUCACAGUCUAGCACUUAGGAAGGCAUCACAGUUCAUGGGUGUCGUAGUGACAGCAUGGAACCAUUUUCUGAGUCCUGCCCCACUGUUGCCUCACACAGGGCGUCACAGAGGGAGCUGGCUGUGACGUUCCAGCAUCCCAGAGUCUCAAUGAUAAUGAUGGGGAUUAAUGGUGAUCCUGAUUUUUUCUCUAGCGCUUUACAGCUAAGUGUUAGUCUAUGAAUGUAAUAUAACAGUGGUUUAAAAUCAACAGAUUGUAACAAAAGUCCCUCACAGGAGACAAAGCUGGUGCCGUGAUCUAUAUUGCAUUAAUGAGACAAAUGAGGAUAGGAAACAUCAUGUGGCUUCCCAGGGCUCCAUGGCAGGGGCGUGGCAGGGGGGAUUUGAGUGCAGGAUCCUACUCCAGUGCUGACCUUUCCCAUCACUUUCCUGCUGCCCAGUGUGAGCUCUGUCCUGUCCAGGUCAGUCAGCUGCUGUUUCCUCCAUCCAGCCAGUGACACCCAAACCUCAUGGAGCAUCGGAAUUACCAGAAAAGCUUUUUAAAAUACAGGCUGUGUUUUAAAAUGUGUGAGUGUGUGGUGUGUGUGUGCUGCGGGGGUGUGGGGGGUGUAGGAGUGUGUGUGUAUUUAUUUCAUAACAACCUUUCCAGGUGUUAGUUUACCGCCUGCCUGGCGCUGUCCUUCCAUCAGUUAUUGGAAAUGGCUCUAAACUCUCAUGGCUAUUUCAGGCUCAUGGCUUAUGCCAUGGAAUGUUUUCCAGGUCAGAUACCUUUAUCUCUCUCUCUGCCUACCUAGAUCCUGCCCACUUUUAAAGAGCUGGCUCAAGCCCUUCAUGGUUUCCUUGCCAAUUCCAUUCUACUGAUGCCCACUCCCACCUCUUGAGGGUCUCUCCUUUUAUGUCUUGGGGGUGAGAGGGCAGGAGGACCGGCCCUGACAAGGGUCCACUGUGUGUCAGGCCCUGAUUAAGGGUUUUUCCGUAUGUCAUCCUUCCAUGACACUGAGGUCCCGAUCAUUACUUUAAAGAUGAGGUAAGUGAAGGAGCUUGGCCAAGUUCAGUGCAGGUAGUAAAGUGCAGACUGGGGUCUCAUCUGGCUUCAAGUUUCCCCCUUUUCCAUCCACUCUGCUGAGUAUUUCAAUCUGGUCCUUGUCUCACCAGCAAGAUUUCUUUUGUACUAGAAUAGAGAAACUUUGUCUUGCAAUAAAAAAGUCUUUCACCCUCUGCUGUAUAAUCCACAUAGUAAAAUAACCUAAUUGUUGAGGAAAUACAAGAAUGGAUGCCUUCUCUUACUUCUCUUGCAAAUCAGUGCCUAGCAAACUUCUAAAAGGUGAAUUGUUGAUAGAUUAUAUGAUAUUUUUUUCUUCAAGCUUUUUAAUAUGACAAGGGAAUUCCAGCCAGUAUUUUUACCUCUUCUUUCUUUUCAGAGUCAUGAAGUAUUAGAGCACAUGGAUGUCUUAUAGAUGAUCUUGUCCAAGUCAUUCAUUUUAGAAGAGCUGAUGGAACUUCAGAGAGGUUAAAUUCACCUGUCGCAGGUCACCUAUCUCCUUAGUGACAAGUUUGAGAUUACAGCCCAACUUCAAGUCACACUGACUCUUGUGAUUAUAAGUGAAAUCAUACUUGGCCACUCAUUCCUGAGCAAGAUGCCUGUUUCUGAAAUUAGUCUCUAGAGUGCCAACUUUUCAAGAGAAAAGAUGGUACCUUAUUUACCUUCAAGAGCAAAGCCUUUCCCAUGUUUCAUAAGUGUUUCUUGGCAGCCUAACUGACUCAGUGACUGAUUAAAGGAAAGACUGAAGGACAUGAAAGGCAUUGACUUGCUCCCUCCUAAAUAUUUCUUAAGGACCUACUAUGCUAAACACUCACAGCACUGAGGAUUCAGUGUUGAACACAACUGACAAAAUCAGCAGCCUUACUGAGCUUCUAUUCAAGUGGUGAAGACAAUAAUAAUUAUAUGUAAGUGUUGUAAUUAACAUAUUAUGAAGAAAAAACAAAAAAUGUAGAGAAGCUGGAGACUGAAAGGGGGUGCUAUUUGGGAUACAAUGAACAGAAAAGGUGUCUCAGGUGGUGUGGGCUGCUCUGACAGAAUAUCACAGACUGGUGGCUUAAACCGCAGAUGUAUUUCUCAGAGUUCUGGAGGCUGGAAGUCCGAGAUCAGGGUGCCAGCAUGGUUGGAUUCUAAAAAGGACCAUUUUGCAGUCUGCAGACAACCGUUUUCUGGUUGUAUCCCCACCUGGCAGAAAGAGAGUGAGAAAUCUCUCUGUGGUCCCUUUUAUAAGGUCACUAAUCCCAUUCACCAGAGCUCUCCUCUCAUGACCUAAUUACCUCCUAAAAGCCCCAUCUCCCAAUACCAUCAAAUUGGGGGUUGGGACUUCAACAUAUGAAAUUUGGGGGGACACAGACAUUCAGUUCGUUGCAAAAGAGCUCUCUGGAGAAGUGGUGUUGAAGCAGGGACAUUCAGAGAUCUGGGAGAAAGAAUGUUCUAGGCAGAAGGAAAAGGACGGGAAUGAGUCCUGAAGCAGGAGCCUGUGGAAGUGUCUGUGGAUAGGUGGGGAGGUGGGCAGGGCUGGAAUGCAGUGAGCUACAGGGAGAGGUUUAGGGAAUGGGGUCGACAGGUAGCCAGCUCCUCUGCAGCCUUAUGCCUGGGAGAGAGUCUGGAUAUGCUUUGUGGUAUGAUUUGCUGUGAGCAGUUCACCUGGUUUAUGAUGUAAAAUGUGGAAGGAAAAGACAAUACAGGCCAAGAGUGGAAGCAGUGAGACCUUUUACAGGCCUCCUUGAUUAUUCAAAUUUAGUUAAUGUCUCAAUUAUACAAAAAAUACUUAGUUGCUAAUUAUGUAAAGACCAUCACAUAAUUAAGAGGAAGGAGCAAAUAACCUCUAGCCCUUGGUUUUUUUAUGCAAAUGGGAGAAAUUAGCUACAUUCAUUCAUCCAUGAAAAACAUUUAUUGAGUGAACAUCAUGUGUCAGACACUCUGCUAUGCUCUGCGCUGAGAAAAAAGAUGAAAAAGACCCUAAUUUUAACUAACACUCAAGGAACUUAGGACAAGUAUGGUAGUAGAAGAAUGAAGAACAGACCAGGUGUGGUGGCACACACCUGUAAUCCCAGCACUUUGGGAGCCUGAGGCAGGUGGAUCACCUAAGGUCAGGAGUUCGAGACUAGCCUGACCAACAUGGCGAAACCUGUUCUCUACUAAAAAAAAAAAAAAAAAAAAAAUACAAAAUCAGCCAGGCAUGGUGGCGCAUGCCUGUAAUCCCAGCUACUUGGGAGGCUGAGGCAGGAGAAUCACUUGAAGCUGGGAGGCAGGGAUUGCAGUGAGCAGAGCUUGCACCAUUGCACUCCAGCCUGGACAACAAAGAGCAAAACCCCGCCUCAAAACAAAACAAAAUAAGAAAACGAGAAUGAAGAUGUAGGGAGAGAUCAGAGGGUGGAGUGGCUUGUCACAGAGGAGGUGUCUGAGUUGAGCCUUAAAGGAGAGAAAUUACGCUGGAAGGAGAAGGAAGUACAGAGCACAGGCAAAGAAACAGAUGCACGGAGCAGCAUGAGGAAUUAUUUGAUGUUGCUGGGACCUGAAGUGCAAGAAAAAGAACCAGUGAAGAGAAGACUAGCAAGGGGGGUCAGAGCCAGAUGAGGAGCUUGCAGACCUCAUCCUUUGUUGCUCUAUUGGAUAGUCUGCAAAUUAUUUUCUGACUCCAGGAUGACAAAAAUAUGUGAAUCCAUUUUCUUUUCUCUCUCAUGAGCAUCACAAGCCCCUGUUUAUUUUUAUAUCCAUUCUGUCUAAAUUACUUUGCUCUACAACUUUAUAGCAUAAUCAUGAGAGCCUCUUUUCUUGCAUGGAUGUUGCAAAGAGCAUGAAGUCCUCCAUGGCUUUUAAAGAAGGCUUUUGUUGAAUUAGCAGAACCUACCAGAGCUCCUGGAAAUUCCGGGUUUCCGGUCUCUGGGGGCGUCUUCACUCCAAGCCUCGGUGCCCUUACUUGGAUUUGCAAGUUUAGAGUUAAAGUAAGUGUCAGAAGUACGUGUGGUGAUUACAGACACUUUGUAGCCAAUAAUUUCCAUAGUGGAACUGAUAUCACUUCUUGACCUAUUUUUUCAGAGGACUUUUGCGCAAUAGUUACUUUAGAAGCACCCUCUUGAAAAGAAAUCUGAAAUGGACGUCAAAGGCUAUAUUUAUUUGUUCAUAGCAUUUCUUGAUGACCUGCUUUAUUCAAGAUUUCAAAGAGCUCACAGCUAUUAAUGACUACUUAAAACUCUUAAUAUCCAAAAUAUAUAAGGAACUCAUACAAAUCAAUACCAAAAAUACAAACAACUGGAUUAAAAAAUGGGCAAGGGACCAAAAUAGACACUUCUUAAAAAAGGAAAUUCAGAAUGCCAAUAAACAUGUGAAAAGGUGCUCCACAUCUGUAAUUAUCAGGUAAAUGCAGGUCAAAACCAUAAUGAGAUAUCACUUCAUACCUUUUAGGGUGACUAUUGUAAAAAAGAUAAAAGAUAGCAAAUGUCGGCAAAGAUGUGGAGAAAGUAGAACCCUUGUUCACUGUUGUUAGGAAUAUAACUUUAUACAACCAUUAUGGAAAAAGUAGGAAGGUUCCCCCAAAAUUCAAAAUGGAACAUAUGAUCAAGCAGUCCUACAGGAUUGUAAAGAGCUCUCUGCAUUCCCAUGUUCACUGCAGCAUUUUGCACGAUAGUCAACAUAUGGAAACAACCUAAAUGUCCUGCAGUGAACAGAUAAAGAAAAUGUGAUUUUGGCCAGGAGCGGUGGCUCACGCCUGUAAUCCCAGCACUUUGGGAGGCUGAUGGGGGCGGAUCACUUGAGGUUAGGAGUUCAAGACCAGCCUGGCCAAUAUGGUGAAACCGUGUCUCUACUAAAAAUACAAAAAUUAGCCAGGCAUGGUGGCAGGCACCUGUAAUCCCAACUACGCAGGAGGCUGAGGCAGGAGAAUCACUGGGACCCGGGAGGUGGAAGUUGCAGUGAGCCGAGAUUGCAUCAUUGCUCUACAGCCUGCGUGACAAAGCCAGAUUCUGUCUCAAAAAAAAAAAAAAGAAAGAAAGUGAUUUUAUACAAUCACACACACACACACACACACACACACACACACAAUGGAAUAUUAUUCAGGUUUAAAAAAGAAGAAAAUCCUGUCAUUUGUGACAACAUGGAUGAAGCUGGAGGAAGUUAUGCUAAGCAAAAUAGUAUGCAAGACACAGAAAGAGAAAUACUGCAUGAUCUCCCUUUUACGUAGAAUCUAAAAUAGUCAAACUAUAGAAGUAGAAAGUAGGAUGGUGGUUGCCUGGAGCGGGGAAGAGGGGAAAAUGGAGUGAUUUUGGUCAAAGGGUGCCAAAAUGGUAAUUAUAUACAGGGAAUAGAUAUGUUAAUUAGUUGGAAUGUGAUAGUCAUUUCACAAUGUAUAUGAAGACAUCCCGUUGUACACCUUAAAUAUAUACAAUUUUUUAUAUGUCAUAAAAACUAAAUUGUCACAAAGAAUUUAAAAGACAAAAAAAAAUCCUGUAAUUCCAUGACUUUAGUAUAUUUACAGAAUGAUUUUAGGGGUACGUAAUUUAAAAGGUUUCACAAAAUUUCAUUAAAAAUUUUUGAGUUAUUUGAUUAUGUAUAAGUUCAACCUCUCAUGGAAAGCUGAAUUUAUUUAACAUACUGACUAGAGGCAAGAAAAUAAGAAGCCAGAAGAAAAGUAUUAAUUCAUGGUGCAGAACUUGAGAAUAUGCAUUGAACAGCUGCACCGUAACACUUAGCCUUUUUGUUCACAUGAAGUUGCUCUCUGGAAUCCUCAGAUAGCUGCAGUUGCCUGAGGGCUCUUCAAAUGUCACCAGGGCAACAACAAAGUAACACACAUGAAGCAGGCCCUCUGUGGCAUUCUUCGUGAAAACCAUUGAAUUAAAUUAUUGCAUAACAAAUCAUCUGCAUAUGAAAGGCAGUGAACUGUUAGAGAACCCAGCUGAAAACAAUGCCGAAUUUGAUGCCUACCUCCACUGAUAACUCACUGGCACCCUUAGAACUCUUGUUGUGACUCAAGGGCCCCUAUUUGACAUGUGGGAAAUAUUAAUACUGUAUUUAUAAGACCACAAAGGAAUUAUGAGGUAAAUUAGAGAGAUAGUUGUGCUGCUUAGAGAAAAACUUCCAUGUAUCCCAUGACCCCAUCCCUCUUACCCUUUCUUGGUCAAUCUUUCAAAAAGAAAAAUGCAUUUCCUGCACUCUGGUUGAAAUGGUUGCUUGCCAUCAUGGAAAUUCUAGAAAAACCGACAAUAGUUAGCAGGGAUGGAGUCCUUGCUAUGUUUUAGCACAGAGACUGUGCUAAGCACUUCUCAUGCAUUAUUUUAUUUCAUUCUAGUGGCCCAUAGGGUUAGUACUAUUAACAUACCCAUUUUAUAAUGAGGACAUUUUGACUCUAAAAUGUUAGCUGAUUCUGGCCUGGGUUCUCAAAGCUAAAGAGAACUCUGAAGUAAACAUUAAGAACCACAUGAUCUGUUUCCAGAGUCCUCAAACCUCUGAACAUAUUGGUUUAGAAUAAACUACUUCAUAUCACAGCCUCUAUCACCAUUAUACCUGGAUCCUGCUUAAUCUAGAAGCCAUAGAUGGAAAUUGUUAUCGUUGGAAAAACAAUUUUCACACUCAAGUAUAUUAAUUCAAGAACCCUAUGGAGAGACAGUAUAUGAAAAACAAAUGUCAUACGAUGUUUUAGGUAUGAUUAAGCCAAAAUAAGACAGACUUUAAAAAUAUACAUAGACUGAAAUAUUUACAUUCAAAUGAUAUUAGUGGCCUGCCACCUUAUCUCAGCAACACUUGAAGCUCUUCUUGGGAAUUGUCAACUUUUGAACUGCACAAGAAAACAAGUCUCUUCUUUGUUCAGGUUUCAGUUUUGGAUUCCUGAAGAUCAAUCACCUUCUUUUCAUCAGGUUUGACCAUGAAAAACUUAACUAUUUUAAAGAGCAAAUCCAUUUUCAAAGUGCAUAAAUGUAGCACCUUUACCAUGUAUUUGAAAGGACAAAUUUCACCCUCUUUUUAAAUUAUACUUACUUACAAUUAUAAAAAAUAAUAUUGAUUAUAAAAAUCACCAAAGGGACCAGCACAAUGGCUCAUGCCUGUAAUCCCAGUGCUAUCAGAGGCUGAACCCAGAGGAUCCCUUGAGGCCAGGAGUUCAAGACCAACCUGGGCAACAUAGCAAGACCCCAUCUCUACAAAAAAUUUAAUAAAUUAGCCAGGUGUUGUGGCCCAUGCCUGUAGUCCCAGCUACUUGGGAAGCUGAGGUGGAAGGAUUGCUUGACCCCAGGAGUUUGAGGCUGCAGUGAGCUAUGAUUGUGCCACUGCACUCCAGCCUGGGUGACAGUGAGUCCCUGUCUCUAAAAAUUAAAAAAAAAAAAGUAAAUAUAAAUGCAAAAUAAAAAUUACCAAAUAUAAUAAUCACAUACGUCUAAAGUGUACUCAAAAUAGCAUUUGGAAAAUAUUUCAAGCUGGCCAGCAUUUAAAAAAUGAAUAUCGUCUCUCAAGAGAACUUAUUUAAUGGAGACAGAAGAUAUGUAGGUAUUACAUGUAUAUUUUAAAUGGUAACAUUGGUUUAUCAUCACAUUUCUAGUGUGGUAUUCUAAGAUUGAAGCACUAAUUGUGGAUAAAUGUACAACUAUUUCUUAGGUGUACCAUUUUUUUCAAGGGAAAUUAAAAUACAGCUUUUUGAGUGCUAACCAUGUGCCAGGCACACUUGUGAUUGAAAUUAAUACAUAAAACAGUCCUAGAAGGUCAGAAUUAUGCUCAGUUUUCAUAGCAUACAACCACAGUUCACGCAGGCUUAGGAACUUGAACAAAGUCACGUGGCUCAGGCAUGUGACCGUGAAGUGUCCAAGAUGGAAGAACAGCAUGGUUUUUGCUGCUUAAAGGGGGAUAAACAUCUACAGCAAAUUAUAAGAGCACCACUUGAGUGUGAAUGGAUUACUAGAACUGAGGUGAGAUAUAUUCUUAACCUAAUACAUAAGAUAACCUAUGUGAAAGCAUUAGAAGCAGUCAUUUUAUUAAUUCCCAAGUUUUAAUACAAAAGAAUCACUUUGAGGUGUUUUUCAGUAACAUAAUUUGGGGUCCACCUGUCAGAAAAUCAGAUUGAACAGAUGGGGGUUCAGGAACCUGCAUUUUUAAGAACCAUUUCAGGGAAUUGUGAGGCUGUUGAUGUGUGAACCCCACUUUGAAAACACCAUGAUAUCACUCAGCAGAUGCUCUGAAUACAGUUUCCUUUUUCCCCCCUUAAUGUCGGAGUACAGGAAGAAACCAAAGACAAUAGUUUAAAACAGGGAACUUAGUACAUAGGGUAUUGUGUUUGGUUUACAUUACUUUAUUGACGUACACUAAAAGAAAAUUUCAUUUCAAAUUUAGCUUCUUACCUUAAUGGCCUCUUUGUAAAACUCUAGUGUACAAAAGUGGUGUUUAACUAAGUGAAAACAGCUCUGGCAGAAAUCUCUGGCUGAUAAAUCUCUUUAGGGCUUUCCUAGCAUAGGGAGUGGGUGAGGAAGGCCAGGUGGGGAAGAGGGGAUUUCCUGUUUAUUUGUGCUACCUAUUUAAAAUGAUUCUCUACAUCCUGUGAUUUUUACAGUUGUUCUGAAAGGAAGCGCUGAUUUUUAACUCCACUGAAGUGCACUGCUUGUGUUUCUGGAGGAGAGAGAGAGGGAGAUGGGGAUAAAUCACCUCUGCACGUUUCACCGGUUGAUGCAUUACAUAUUCUUUCAGCUUCACUUUUCUGCUCUUUUUUUUUUUUUUUGAAACGGAGUCUCGCUCUGUCGCCCAGGCUGGAGUGCAGUGGCGCUAUCUCGGCUCACUGCAAGCUCCGCCUCCCAGGUUCACGCCAUUCUCCUGCCUCAGUCUCCCAAGUAGCUGGGACUACAGGCGCCAGCCACCAUGCCUGGCUAAUUUUUUGUAGAGACGGGGUUUCACCGUGUUAGCCAGGAUGGUCUCGAUCUCCUGACCUCGUGAUCCGUCCGCCUCGGCCUCCCAAAGUGCUGGGAUUACAGGCGUGAGCCACCGCGCCCGGCCACUUUUCUGCUUCUUAGUAACAGAGACAAUGUUGGGCUUCACAGGACUCAAGAUGACUUUCUAAGGUGAUUUGGGGAUGCAGUGUAUGCAUUUUUUUACUCUUUUUUAAAAAAAUCUUUUCUUCGCCUUUGGAGUGUAACAUUUGGAUAGUUUUAUUCAGCCCAUAAUAGGACCAAGGGAAGGGGAUAAAAAAAAAUUCUUUAAAGUACCUCAGAUAAAAAGGUUUUGUGAAGAAAAGGACUCAAAAUCCUAGGUUAUACCAAGACUUUAUGUUCAUUUUGAAUUUUCUUUAUUCAUUUUUUUCUUCUCUGUGUAUAGAAUAAUCAGGAGAUAUUGGUGGGCAGAACUGUUGGUUGAUAACAGGAAGCAGAGUAUCUGAGAAAGGCCCUCAUCCUGUUUCCUUUUGGAGCUACUGAGGCCUCACAUACCAGCCAUUUUAGGAUUUGAUGAAGGCUAGAGAAGAGUUAAACUGAGCCUUCACUUACUCAGCAUCAGUAGGAAGUAGUGUUGGCUACACUAAAAACACCGUUGUGCCAGUGAGGUUUUGGGGGGAAAAUGACAAGCUGCCUGUGAUAAACAAGCAAACUGUGACAAACUUUUUGAUGUGUAGGUUCUGAAGCUUUUCGGUUUACGUCCUCAAAAGAUUAUAUAUAUAUAUAUAUAUAUAUAUAUAUAUAUAUAUAUAUAUAUGCACACAUGCACAAUAUAGCAUAUAUACUUUUGAUAUACAUGAAAGAGAAAAGAUGAGUGGCAGUAAAAUAGAGAUUCCAGGAUUUGUAAACACAGGGCAAUAGAAAUGACAUUUCCGGUACAGUCUGGAGGAGCAGCACCCAUUUUCAGAAAGGAAGGUAUUAGGGAUAAACUUGACAAGGAUGUGGAAGACCAACAUAUCACAAUCAAUCUGCAGGCAUUUGUUGCGGCCUUCCAUGUACUCAGAAAACACAUGCAGUCUUUUUAUAGAUGAUGGAAGUAGUUUUCUUGAUUUGGGAUAAUCUAAAUAUUAUAGUCCUUCAAAAACAUACAAAUUCUAAAAAUUGAAGAUAACAUCUCUUCAUUAACAUUGAGUGAAAAACAGAAAGCAAUGAAGUCCAUGGGGGGGGAUAUAAAAGACAUGAAACACUAAACACCCCUUACCCUGAAUAAUUUACAUGAGUAUUUUCAAAUUGUUUUUUAAAAUAGAAAAGCAGUGAUAACUACCUUGACUUUGAAGCUCAAACUCUAAUUUUCUAUUUGACAUCAGCUGUUGGUUUUGUGUUUGAUAGAGUUGGGUCAUAAAGAUACAUGAUUACAAAAUCCAUUUAGAACUUUUAAUUCUGGAUAAAAUAAUCCAGUUUCUAAGUUCAGUAUCAGCCCUCACUCCUGGCAUAAGGAGCUUUUGUUAUGUAGGACUUGAGGAAUGCCCCAGCUGGGGAAAUGCCAGUUAAUAGAUUCAGACAGAUGGAUUUUGAUGAGAGUCUGCACCGUUCACACCCCUUAGCAAAUGUUUUCGAAUAUUCUCAAGUAACACACUUAACUUGAAAACAAAUAUGGAUUUGCUUACUUUAGAGUCAAUAGUAAUUAUUAUUAUGAGUAGUGCAUAAAAAUAUCUGCUCUGUUUUUGCAUCUUAGAGUGCUAAAUUUAUAUGUCACAUUAUAACUUUAGACCUUUUACUGCCUUCUACAUACAGAGAAAACAUACUUUGAAUUUAAAACCAGGCUUUGGCAGAGAAUUAUUUCAGCUGUUGCAGAAUAUUGCAUUUUUUUUCUUAACCUCUCCCUGCCCAAAGUCAGAGUGAUAAUCAGCUGUGGAAAUAGCCUUAUGAAAUCCCCAAGAGGAAUGCAAGAUCCUGACGGUGUGUUUCGUGUUUUUGUUUCCCUCAGUAGAGACUGUGAAACCAGACCAAAAGGGAAUAACACCAGAAUAGAAAUUAGACUGGACCAAGGAGCAAGAUGGCAUUUCUUACCUGAGCCAUUUUGUGGAGCUCAGUGGUCUUUUAAGAGCAUGAUGCAUAUUUCUGGCUAUGUUUUCUGCCAGAAUCCAUUUUCUUCUGGCAUUAAGUUAAUUGAAGGCCAGAGAAUCAAGUUUAAAGUAUAGGAAAAUGGGAAAGCAGAAGAUCAGAGACAGUGCUUUGUUUGAGGUAGUAAAAUGAGAAGCUAAGUACCAUGUAUGUACCGUUACAUUGAGUGUCUUUUUUGGGCAAGUCACUUUGCUGGGUGCUGGGAAUUCAGCUGAAAAACAACUCUCAUAAAACUUGCCUGCCGUCUACGGGGUAGAUCACACUUACGUGACAAAUUGCCCAUGUAAUUAUUUAAUUACAGUUGUGGGAAGGGCUCAGUGGGAGAAGGGUGCCAUCAGAGUAUAGCAGGGAGGCUAACAGCAUCUGUAGGUUAGAGAAUGCUUCCUUGAGGAAUAGCGUUUGAGCUGAGUUCUGGAGGGUAGUGUAAAUUCCAUAGGAGAAAGGGUUAGGAAGGGCGUACAAGGCAGUGGGAACAGCAUAUGCAAAGGCUCAGAAUCAGGCAAGCACUUGGACUAGAGCAGGGAUUGGAGGCACCUAAUAUGGCUGGAGCUCAGAGAAUCAGUGGGAGCCAGGCUGGCAGGCACUGUUAACACAGUGUGGCACAACCCUGGUAGGGGCCUCGUCACAUUACAACCUGUGCUGCCCAGCAUGGUGGCUCUGGUUGUUGCUACUCAUUUUCUGGCCGGAGGAAAAAAUAUUGAGAUUUCAAAUUUCUUCUCUUAUUCUAUUACGGUUCUUACCUGUGUCUCUAUCUCCAUGUUUAGAUGUCUAUAAAAAAGAAAAAAGAGUGUUUUUAAAAAUUUCUCCCAAGAAAAUUAUACUACUGCUUGUUCAUAAUGCCCUGCCAAUUUUAAUUAAUUCAACAUCCACAGGGACAUUGUUUAGGUUGUGUAUCUUUCAAAAACUGGACUAUUAGUUUAAAUUAGUAGAAAGGAGAACUAGAUUGCAUGAUUGUAGCAAAUAUCGACUUAGGUUUUUAAAGAUAGCAGUCUCUUCUUUUUAACUUCUGAAGUCCUGGCUUAUCAAGAGAAAAAUAAAUUUUUGCUGUGUACCAAAAUAGAAUGCUUUCCAGAUCCUAUUUCUGAAUAGCUGAAUAAUGCGUCUGCAGCUUUUUACGUCACUGCGCGUGCAACAGCUGUUAGGUCAUUCCUGCAACUCCAGCAUUUGUUCAUAUUUUCAGAUGUUCAACAUUUUUAUGAGCAGAUGUAAGAUUUUAAGUUUCAUUUGGAGAAAACAUGCCUUUCCUACUUGCAAAAUAUAAUUUCUGCUUCAUUUGUUAGGAAAUGAAAAUAUCAGAUACAUUUUUUAAUGUACUUAUGCUGGAUUUAACUUCUCAGCUAAACUGCGUGGAGAACGGUACAAACGACAGUGAAAACAGAGAGCUCCUUGAGCCUGUAGGACAAGAUUUACUGAUUGCAUUGUUUGGAAGGCUCAUGUUACUAAGACUUUGGGCUGUUUAUUUGUACAUCGUGUACAUUCUGAGGACAUCCAAGCCAUUCUUGUUGAUUGUCAUCAUCAGAUUUGAAAAGUUAUAUAACUGAAGGUAUUAGACACAAGGGUGAGUAGUUGCUGUAUAUAACAUUGGUAAAUGAAAUCGAUUUGGAAAUGAGCUAUAAUACUUGUUAGCAGUUACAUAUAUGCGAAUCUCAACACUGUGAUUAAUGAGCUGUGAAUUGAUAGUAUCUGCUGAACACUACUUUAUUCAGAACAUUGUUUUACUCACAAGUCAUAGCAGAAGAAUUCAAAAAAAUUAGAGGAUGCAGACUUUUCUUUGUAUUAGAUAGUAGUUUAGCCUGAUGCACAAAUUAUGCAUUCUUGAUAACACUGAAAAAGUAACAAAAUUUUCCAAAAAUUACGCAUGAAUGCUCUGCAAACUGAGUGUGUAAGUGCUGAAAGAAUAGAGAAGAAAAACUCCUGUGAGCAAGGAUCACUUAUGGAACUCUUCUCAGAGGAGAUGAAUUUGGGCUUGGGUGGAGAGAGAAAUAAGCAAUGUGGACUGAUGUUCAGCAAUAAGAUCCAGAGAGCAGGAAAGCCCCGUUCUUUGAUGCUACCACCUCCUAGCUCUGUGGCUUUAGGCAAGAUACUUCACCACUCGACCUCAGUUUUCUCAUCUAUAAAAUGGAGCUAAUAAUCAUUUUUGAAUGAGUAUUAAAUAAGAUAAUAUAUGUAAGAGAACAAUGAUGGCACAGAGUCAGUGCUUAAAGUGUUGGCUUUUAUUAUUUAUUGUCUUUUUUUUUUCCCUGAGACGGAGUCUCUCUCUGUUGCUCUGGCUGGAGUGCAGUGGCAUGAUCUCAGCUGACUGCAACCUCCGUCUCCCAGAUUCAAGCGAUUCUCGUGCCUCAGCCUUCUGAGUAGCUGGGAUUACAAACACCUGCCACCAUGUCCGGCUGAUUUUUGUAUUUUUAGUAGAGACGGGGUUUCACCAUGUUGGUCAGGCAGGUCUCAAACUCGUGACCUCAGGUGAUCCACUGGCCUUGGCCUCCUAAAGUGCUGGGGUUACCUCAGGUAAGCCACCACACCUGGCCUAUUUAUUAUUAUUAUUCAUUAAUAGAAAUUACAGAAAUCAGGGUUACUAGGUGGAGGGAAUGCUGUCUACAAAAGAACAAAGGGGGCGACAAAUCUGUCUCAGAAAUAUUCAGUCAGUUUUAAGCGAUAAUAAUGUUAUUUCUAGCAAAUACAGUACAUUCAAUGUUAUUUUAAACAUACAAUAUUGAAUGAUCUCCAUAAAGUUGACUGUGUGACUUAUAAUAGUCUCUGAAAUCUAGAAAUUAUUAAUAUACAUCCAGAACUCAUGGCUAACCUUCAAUGAUAUGUUUAUAGUGAAAGAACGAGCUUGUGUUCACUUGCAUAGAGGGAGGGUAUGACAAGUUCUACUGAAAAUGUGUCAGUAUAGUUUUCCAUUUAGAAUGGUACACAUGGGAAGUUGAUUUUGUUUGUUUUCUAGAGAUGGGGUCUCCCUGUGUUGCCCAAGCUGGUCUCAGAUUCCUGGCCUCAAGCAGUCCUCCCCUCUUCAGUAUCCAGUGUAGCUGGGAGUACCAGUGCAAGACACCAUACCUGGCCAAUCUUUUUUUAUUCAUUUAAAAAAUAUCUGUGGGUAGAAAUAUGAUUUAGAGAAAUAUACAUAAAGUAUAUAAUCUAAGUAUAUUUUGAAAAAUUGCAGGUUCUGAAAAAAUCAUCUGAGUACACCUGACAGGAGGACUGAAAACAUAGGGGUCAUCUUCAGAAGAAUUUCAAAUGCCAUUUUCCAUGCUAGUUAGCUAGCUAGCUAAUCCCUCCACAUAAUACAUACUACAUAGCUAAUCCUAUCAAAUUUCCAAACCAUUUUCUUGUGCUAGUUAGCUAAUCCCUCCACAUACUACUCCUAGAGACCCUGCAAUGCCUUGAUGUCAGCACAGUCCCCUGGAAUCCUGGAGUGUGGUCUCUGGGAAGGAAGAAAAGGGCCCUAGAGUUUGAGCUGGACAGCCCUCAGCUCCUGGCUCAAGUCACUCAAUAGUUCCAACUCUGUAUUCUCCUGUUAAAUAGCUACCUUUAGACUUUCUGUAAGAAGCAGGAGAAAUAACAUUUGCAAAAGUGACAAAACACAUCUCUAUCUGCAAUCUAGACAUUCAUUCUAGCAGUAGCCAAAGGCUGUGAUCACCUUUGCUUUGUUUUCAUCCUUUAUGAGUGUACUCUAUAAUUAGUGCUUUUAACACACAAACUCACUUAACAUUUACAACAGUAGGCAAUCCUAUUAUCCAAUUUUACAGAGGAGGAUGUUGAGAUGGAGUGAGGUGAAAUAACUUGUCUAAGAGCGGGCAUUUAGCAAGCAGCCAAGCAGGGCUUUGAACUUGGAUGGUAUGGUUCCGUAUCAUGCUAUAGAGCCUCAUCUAUAUCCAAAAUACAGCAAGGAGUACACAAGUAUGCAUCUGGUUCCUUUUAGGGUUUUAUCCAAGUUUUAAGUUUUUGUCCAGGCUUAUAAAUAUUGAGCUAUGAAACUAAAGGUGCCUUAGAGAUAAUCUAUGAGUCCAACCCCUUAUUUUGCCAAGACCUCACUAAGGACUGGACAGGAUAAAUGAUAGACCCACACCAAGACAGAGAUCUUGGUAACAGGGAUGUGGCAGGUCUCCUGAUUCAGUGCUUGUCCCAUUCCACUGUGUAACUUCUCUAGCUUUACAGGAGAUAAUUUAACUUAUUGUUAAAAUCACGUUCAUUUUAAAAUAAAUUUUUAGAUAAAAUUCACAUAAAAUUCACCCUUAUAAAAUGCACACUUCAGUGGUUUUUAGUAUGUUCGCAAAUUUGUGCAACCAUCAUCACUAUUUAAUUCCAGAACAUUUUUAUCACCGCAGAAAGCAACCCAUGCCUAUUUGCAAUUACGCUCUAUUUCCCCUCCCUCCAACAGUUAGCAACUUUCUGUCUCUGUGAAUUCAUCUCUUCUGCACAUUUCAUAUACAUAGAAUCAUAAAAUAGGUGGCCUUUGGUGUCUGGCAUCUUUCACUUAGCAUGUUUUCAAGGUCCAUCCAUAUUGUAACAUGCAUCAGUACUUCAUUCCUUUUUAUUACUGAAUAAUAUUCCAUUGUAUGGAUAUGCUACAUUUUGUUUAUCUGUUUAUCAGUAGAUGGACAUUUGGGUUGUCUUCACAUUUUAGCUACGAUGAAUAAUGCUGUGAGCAUUCACAUACAAUUUUUCUAUAAACAAAUGUUUUUAAUUUUCUUGGGUAUAGAUCUGUGAGUGGAAUUGCUUGGUCAUUGGUAACUCUGUGUCUAACUUCUUGAGGAACUGCCAAAUGGUUUUCCAAAGUGGUUGCACCAUUUUACAUUCCUGCCAGCCACAGGUUCAAAUUUUUCUACUCCUAAUCAACACUUGUUAUUGUCCAACUUUUUUAUUGUAAUUAUCCUAGUCAUUGUGAAAUGGUAUCUCUUCGUGGUUUUGACAUGCAUACUCUUAAUGACUAAUGAUAUUGAGCAUCUUUUCAUGUGCAUUUGUAUAUCUUCUUUGGGAAGAUGUAUAUUCAAAUCUCUGACCAGUCUUAUUUUUUUGUCUUUUUAUCAUUGAUUUGUAAGAGUUCUUUUUAUUUCUGGAUACUAGACUCUUAUCAGAUACAUGAUUUGCAAGUAUUUUUUCCCAUUCUGUGGGUUGUCUCUUCAGUUUCUUGGCAGUGUUCUUUAAAGUUCAAGUUUUUAAUUUUAAUGAAUUCCAAUUAAUCUAUUUUUCUUUGAUUGCUUAUUGCUUUACAUGUCAUUUCUAAAAAAUGACAUCUAAUCCAAGGUCAUGAAUGUUUUCUUCUAAGAGUUUUAUAGCUUUAACUCUUACACUUAGGGCUUUGAUUCAUUUUGAGUUUAUUUGUGUAUAUGCUAUAAGGUAGGGGUUUAACUUCAUUCUUUUGCAUGUGGAUAUCUAAUUGCCCCAAAACCGUUUGCUGAAAAGACUGUUCUUUCUUCACUGAAUUUUCUUGGUAUCCUGUUGACACAUUCACUCUUAUAUUAAAAUAAAUACCUAUUCUCUGUGAGUCAGAAUGAGUGAGUCAAUUGUAAGUUUGUUGUAUUGCUUUUAAAACUGAGUAGAUCAUAAAAAUGUCUCUGUUGUUUCAUCUAUAAACUGAGGGUGAUACUACUUUUUGGUAGCAUAAUUUAAGGUGUAAAAUAUCUUGCUGAAGGCAGAGGGCUAGAUCAUAUUACCUCCCAACAGAUUGGACACUAGCCUUAAUUGUAAACCUCAAUUGAUGCCAAUGUGGUUGAAAGACUUUUGAGUCUGACCAACGUAGAUCCAAAUCUUGACUCCAUUACUUACUAACUGCAUGACCUUGAGCAAGUUAGUUCUUUACUUGGGAAUUGGUUUAUUGUGAGGAUUGAGUAGGAUAAUGUAUAAAAAUAUUUGACAAAAUUACUGAGAUUUAUUCAUUCAUUUAUUCAUCCAUCCGUCCAUCCAUUCAUUCUGGAAAAACUUACUGAGUGCUUUAAAAAGCUAAAAUAAAUUGAAUAGACAAAGUCCCUGCUCUUAUAGAGUUUACUUUGUCCUGGGGACACAGAUAAUAAGCAAAUAAGUCAAUAAAUAUAUAACAUAGUAUCAAGUACAGAUAAGUAUAUGAGAAGAAAAAUCAAGCUGAUUUUACAAAAUAGAAAGUGAGUGUAGGGUUCUUAUAGAUAAGAUAUUGAGGAAGACUUCUCAAGGAUGGUGAUAUUUGAGGAGAGACCUAAUUGAAAGGAGGUAAUUGGCCUCUUAGAUCAGGGGGAUGAGUGUUCCAGACAAAGAGAAAGUGGAGAAUUGACAGUAGAGGGCAAGAAUGAAAGCAGGGCUGUUGCAGUAGUCAGUAGGUGAGAGAAUAGUGCUUGAAACAGGAAGUAAUGAGACAUGGUGUGAUUGGAGUGCAUUUGAAGGGAAGACCAUCAGGUGUUGAUUGUAGGAUGCUUCAUUGUUGGAUGACUCUUAAAGAUUUAGUUUAAGAAACUGGCUGAAUGAAGAUGCUAUUAAAUGAGUUGGAGAAGCCUGGCGAAGAGCAUGUUGGGUUGGAUGGGCACAGAGUUCUCUUUGGGACAUAUUAGAGAUUCAGUUGGAGAUCACAAGCCACUACAAUACAAGUCUGGAGUUCAGAUGAGAGAUGGGAUUUUUAGAAUGAUCAGGAUAUAUUUAGUGUUUAAAGUCAGGAAUGUAUGAGGUCACCCAGUAAAUGAGUGUAUACAGAGAAGAGAGGAGGACAAGGAAUGAGCCCUGAGGCACCACCACCUCAGAGGUCAGCAAGGGAAGAAUGUCUCUAAGGAGACUGAGGUGGCAGGAAAAUCAGGAAAGCCUGAUAUCCCAGAAGACAACUGAAGACAAAAUUUCAGGAAGGAGAGACUGAUCACAAGUGUCAAAAAACUUCUGGGAGGUCGAGAAAGAAGAUGGCCAAGAAAUUAUCAUGAAUUUGUCAAGACAGAUGUCACUGGCACCCCUGAUGAAUGUGGUUGCACAGGAGUGGUGGGGACAAACGCCUGAUGAAGGGGGUUCAGGAUAGAGAGGGAGAUGAAGAAAUGAAUGCAGUGGGUAAGUCCUAGCAAGGUGCUGUAGUACAUGCUCAAGAAAUAUUAUUAAAGCAUAUAAUUGGAGAUCGAAUUCAGAGGCAGCACAAUAGCUUGGAAAGAGCACAAGCUUUGAGUUCAGCUCCUAGCAAUAUCACCUACUUGCUGUGUGACAGCAGGCAAAUCACUUCCUGAGUCUCUGGGCCUUAUUUUCCCACAUUUAUAAAAAUUAUAGCAAUUAUAAUACCAAUCACACAACAUUGCCAUGAAGAUUAUAGAUAACAAAUAACCUAUCCUGGGACAGCUUCUGGCAUGUGAUAGUCACACUACAAAGUGGAAAUCUUAUAUUACUAAAUUUAUUUAUUUACUAAUCAGAACCAAGAUUGCUUAUUUCUACAUUGCUUAUUAUAGAUGAAUCCAUAGGCUUUGUAACCAGAUGACUGGGAACACUUCACAAAACAGGAGGAGUCAUUUCUGUGUUUUGAAGGCUGAAUGGAAGUUUUUUUUGGUAAAGAAGAAGUGAAGGCAUAUUUCUGAUAGAGGAAACCACAUGUGAGAGAUAACAGGUGUGUCAGAAGGCUGCCUGAAGAGAAUUAGAGAAGAUUAGGUUGGAGAGGAAGGCAGAAGGUAGAGUCUGAAGACCCUUAUAAACCAUGCUAAAGUAAAUGUGAUCUUUAUGUAAUCGUUAAAAGAUAAAUUGUACAUCACGACAGUGAUUUCCAUUUUAUUAUCAGAGCUCAAUGCUUCCAUAGAUCUGAGUUUUAGAGUUUACCAGCUAGAAGAACCACUUGGUAAGUAGAAUGCAUGACAAAACAGUAACCCCUGUGCGCACCUUAAAGGUAAAUUUACAACAUUUUGGGAGCAUCAACCACUGCUCCCAAAAUGCUGGUUCCUGGAUAGCAAUCAGAUAAAACUGAUGAUUACAUAUGAAAAAAAUGUUGUGUAGGAUUUCCAACUGACAUUUUUGUUUAUUAUGAGAUUUUUACCUUUUUACUUUUUGAUGUUUAAAAUGUCAUUUAUUUUAAUGAAAUGGUGAUGAUGUUGAAUGCUUUGACCUAGCAAAAUUAAAAGGUAGUUAAACUCUAGUGUUACUCUUGAACUUUCUUUUGAAAUUAUUCUCAUCUGUAAAAUCCUAAAGUCUGGGAUCUUCUGUCUUAAGGUACAUGAAACCUGAUGUCUGUAAAUAUUGGUUCACUCAAUUAAGAAGGCAUCACAAAGAGUUUCUAUUUACCAUUGCUGUCCGUGGAUGCUAACUCUGCCAAUUAAGGGUCUUAAGGGUCUUCUCACUCUGGGGGCAGCCAUUCAAAUGUCCCUAAAGAAAGUUUCUAUAUAUGCACAAAAAUGUGAGGUCUGGUAUAUGCAAAUAAAUUCACAGCUGUGCUCUUUAAUUUUGAAUCCCAACCUCUAUUGAAAGAGACUGACCAGAUGCUCAGAUCAGAGCAUACUGAAUAUUCCUGCUAAUCUUUCUCUCUUCAGUGGAAGGAUUUGAUGAAUUUGAUGAAGUGGAAAAGUGAGAUUUUGCCAGGAGCUUUCAUGUGCUAAAUCAAAUUUCUAUAGUUUUACUUCACAUUUAUGCUACAAAGACAGGUAUCUGAGGGGAACUGUGUUUUAAUGAGAGUAAGCUCAUUUUAGUUUACGUUACUGAAGAUGAGCAUCUGUCUGUUCCUUGACAAAGUAUUUUGCAAAGUGUUUUCUGUUAUUUCUCUCCAAGGAUGUUACAGAGGACACACAUCAUCCAGAUCUUAUGUACAUUAUAACUUCCAAUGAAAAAGUGCACUCUUCCUAACUUUUUUUUUAAAAAAGUGUUUGUGUGUCAUUUGUUUUGGCUUUGUCUCAUUCUAUAACCUAAAUAAUUCUUAGUCAACCACAUGUACUCUCCAUAGAUUAUAUUAGCAGGUACAGAGAUUAUAAAAUACAUCACUUCCAGUCUUAAGAACUUGAUUGCUCAUUAUUAAAUAGGUGGAAUAAAGCACCAAUGCAAGCUAGUACUGGGGAAGGAACCCAGCUGUGGUGUUCUAACAGACAUGGGUUUGAAUUCUGGCUCUACUGCUUAGUUUUCUGGUCAUUUCUUUGUCUGUAGCAUAGGGAUAAUAACACUGAUCUCAUUAGGUGCUCGGUUGUAUUAUUGGUUGUUAUAAGAAUUAAAUGAGACAUUGGUUUCAUUCACUUAUCAAAUAUUUAUGAAAUGUCUGCUAUAUGUAUAAAAAAUACUUAACAAAGAGCCUAGAAUAUGGUAUUUAAUCGCAGUUGCAAUUAUUUUGGCUUUUCUUCCAUGUCUUGAUUCACAUAACUGGCCUUCUGCUAUAAUCCCUUAUGCCAAAGUCCUUAUCUUGAUAACACAUCUAAGCAUUUCGUCAUUGCCCAUGACAUUCCUACCACCGUGGCUGUAGUCCUGCUCCAAAUCACUAUUGGUGCCCAGGAGUAACUGUUGACUCUUGCCUGCUUUGUCUGUUGCCCUUGAGUUAGCCAUCACUGGGUUUUGCCCACUAUGGAGUUUCUCUGAUGCCACUAUCUCUGCUGGACUUUGGGUACCUAUCCAGUACUUAUCCCUCAGCUUGGGCUUGGCCUGACAGCUACCAUAAUUAGAUUUGCUCUCAUCUCAUUCCUUGGAGAGGGGUCUCUCUCCAGGUGCCAGCCCUUACCGGUAUUCCUCCUAAUGUCACAGUUAACUAUGCCACAUCUAACUCUAAGGAUUCAGGCACUGAUGGCAGGGUUGACUUACUGAUGGCAGUUACAGAUGGCAUGUGACCACAGCCAUGUGUGUGAUGGAGAUACAUGGAAAAGGAUGAAAGUGCCUAACUAUCAUAUCAAAGAUAUAAUUAUAGAAAAGAUGGAGAUUAGCCCAAAGAAGGUCAGAGAGUAUUUUAAGGGGGUGCAACAUGGUAUCUGUAAAUGCUUGGGAAAAGACGAUGAUGAGUUGUUUUGCUAGGCAAAAGUAAGAGGUUUCAAAAAAGGUCAGGUAGCUAUGAAGUCAGUCAGCUAAGGAGAGUUUAAUGAUUGCCCUAGAGUAAGAGGACUUGGAUUAGAGUAUUGGCUCUGCUAUUUAUUAUCAUUAUGAUCUUGGUCAUUUCUAGUCUGUCAACAUCAGUUGUAUUACUCAUUUAACAAAGUGAAGGAGUGGAAUUGUGCUACAUGCAGCUGAAAAACAUCAGCUUGGGGUUCUGUGGGAGCCAACAAAUUAGAGAAAGGUGGAGUUGGGACAAGUGGAUUGUGGAAUGCUCUCCAGAAAAGAGGAUUCUCAAGAGAAUGUUUAAAUCUAGGUAGAAAUUCACCAGAGAAUGGAGAAAAGGGAAGAUGCUCUGGCAAGGGUCAGCAUCAUAUGCGAACUUUCAGGCAUGAAAGAUUAGCAAGUUGGAAGAGAAAGAAUUAGGACCAUGGAUGCCAAAUCAGGGUGCCUGAAGGACAUACAAAUGGAAAUAUUCAAUGGGAUUGGUGGCUUCUGCUUAUUGAGUUCCUGUUAAUUUUUAAUUAAUAAAGCAAGCAUUUAUUAAUGCUACAUUGUAAUAAAAUUUCCCCUUGGAUAACACAUUUUUUUCAUUCCAAAUAUCCUGUUUACUAAAAGCAGAUAUCUACAGCAAUGCACUCAUGAUAAAUUUUAAAAAAUUCCCAUCAGUAAUACUUUAAAUAAUGUUUACUUUUACUGGAUGCUUAUACAAUUUCUAUUUGGGUGUGUCCCCAACAAUCUACAAUCUUUCAUAUCCAACAGCAAAAUUGGCCAUUUUCUGAAGAGAUUAAAAGCCAAUUAUGGGCUUGGAUUCAGAACUUCAGUUCCACUAAAUAGGAUCCAAAUGUUUUGGAACUCAUCACAGUUGGCUUAGAAUUGUUAUCACCUAGGAACAAUGUUAUUACUUAGGAAAAGAGUUCAAGUAGAACCCUGGUAAAUCUGGCUCAACAAAUGGACCGUGCUUUAUGGAAUUUUUGUUGUUUAUUAUUACAAAUGUUGUUGUUACUUUGAUCUGAAUAAGAUGUUCUAAAAUAAAAUUUGUCUCUGUGUCCAACAACAGGUCCUGGCAUACUCAAUCAGCAGAGUUUCUGUUUGUUUUGAUUUGCAAAGGAAAGCCAUGUUGCCACAUGUCUACUCAAAUAAAUUCACACCACCAUCUACACUGACUCAUUUAGAAGGAGCAAGUCCACAAAGCAAAAAUUAUAAUAUAUAUUAGAAAGUAUUCGUGCCAAACACAUCGAGAAUGAAAAAUGUCUCAUUUUUCUCCUUAUUUUAAUGAUAUCAUCUUUUGACUUUUACCUGCAUCCCGAGUCAAGCACAAAUGUGGAAAUGUAGAGUCACACAAAAUGAGAGGAUGGGGGUGGGGUGAGGGCAGAAAAGGCCGGAGAAAAGGGGUGGAGCAGGAAAGGCAUGGGUUAGUUUCUCUAGAUAGGAAUAUAGGCACAAAACACCCCUGACAAGGGAAUUUCAACUUGAAAGACUAUCUUCCCCAGCUAGGUGGCAUCUAGAACCCAGGAUUGCCAUUCAGAGAAAAGGAAAAAGAAAAUAAGAGAAACAGGAACAUAACGUUUUGUCCCGAGGACACAAGGACUUGUUUCUCUUUAAUAAAUGCAUGGGUUUAAAUAUGGAACCUUGUAUUUUAUAGUCAAAGCAAAUGAAACCCUAAGAUAAACAGUAAAAAUGUUUGUUGAUUACAUGUUACUGCAGCUUUUAUGUAUAUUGUGUAAAACAAAACAUGGAUAUUUCAUGAAAUGCUUCAAGCACAACUUUCUAAGGAAAAACAACCAUUUGUUCUGACACAAACUGCAUAUCCAAUAGGUGACAAAUCCUGUAGCAUUAAUUUUUUUUCUUAUAGAAACAGCAUUAAGUGUUUUUUGGGAAAUGAAAGAAUUACACUUUCCCCACCUCCCUGCCCCCCGCUUUAACAUACAACUUACUGGAUAAUCCAUAUGCAAGAAAAGCAUCUCUUGCCUACCAAGGUGCUUCCCACCUAUGUUGAGAACAGGACUUGGCCCUGCCCUUGGCCUCAUCUCCUCUCACGGCUGCCUGCCUUCUCUGAGCCAUGAGCUCUUGAAUGUCUCAGACUUUGUGCUUUCAUCUCUGUAUCCCAGAACCAAAAAGGAGCCCACUAAAUAUUCUGUUUUGACUCAAUAAACAGAGAGAUGGAUAACUUCAGACUACAAGUGAUGAAAUAUGUAAAUAAGAUUACAACUAAAAUAUAUAGUUUACAAAGCACUUUUAAUAAUCUGAUUUAUACUCAAAAUCAUGGUGUAAGGUAAACAUCUCCUAUCUGCAUUUUGCAAAUAAAGAAACAGAAGCUCAGAGAGAUUAAGUAGGCUUCCGAAGAGCACAGCUGAUGAAGUUGGUGAGUUGGGAUUUGAACCCAGUUCUUUCCUAAAAAUCCAUGUCAUAUGCCAUAAAAUGAUGUUUUGGUCAACAAUGGACCACAUAUAUGAUAGUGUUUCCGUAAGAUUAUAAUGGAGCUGCCCUAUACAGGUGCGCUCUUUUUAUCUUUUUAUUUUUAGUUUUAUUUUUUUGAGACAGGGUCUCACUCUGUUGCCCAGGCUGGAGUGCAGUGGUGCAAUCAUGACUCACAGCAGCCUUGACCUCUCUAGCUCAAGAGAUCAUCCCACCUCAGCCUCCCGAGUAGCUGGGAUCACAGGUGCAUGCUACCACACCCAACUAUUUGUUUUUUUUUUAAGAAAUGGUGUCUUAUUAUGUUGCCCAGGUGGCUCUCAAACUUCUGGGCUUAAGUGAUCUUGCCUUGACCUUCCAAAGUGCUGGAAUCAAAGGGGUGAGCCACCUCACCCAGCCUAUCUUUUAUACUGUAUAUUUACUGUACCUUUUCUAUGUCUAGAUGGACUUAGAUACAUAAAUACUUACCAUUGGGUUACAGUUGCCUGCAGUAUUCAGUAUAGUAACAUGCUGUGCAGGUUUGUAGCCUAGCAGCAAUAGGCCAUACCAGAUAGCCUGGGUGUGUCAUAGGUUCUACCAUCUAGGUUUGUUUGCAAACUGUGAUGCUGGCACAAUGAUGAAAUUGCCUAAGGACACAUUUCUCAGAACAUGUCCCCAUCAUUAAGUGAUGCAUGACUACUUUCUUCUACAUCCUGCUGCCUCUGAGAAGUAUUAUACACAAUGAGUAGAAGGUGAAAAGAUUAUAUAUUAAAAUUCAAUAUAUAUACUGAAUUUUAUUCAAGGUGAAUAAGAAAGCAGUCUAUUUUCAAAAAGUUCAGAAUAUUAAUGAUAUUUCAUGAAUGCCCACAUUCAUUUGGUUUGUUAUUUUUUUAUAAUAAAGGAGAAGAACCAGCAAUGCAAGUUUUAUAUCGCAAGAGAGUUGGCAGUGUUUUAUUAACCUUCCUGCUUAGUUGCCUUCAAUGAUAUAAUUACUGCUAUUUAUCAGUCUGUGCAGUUUUCCUGAAUUACAGCCUAGAGUUGUGUAACUUUCACUUAUAAAGAAGAAGGCUGGAGGGUGCAAAAUAUUCUAUUAUAAUCCUAUGAAAAUAUUUUGUAAAAUAUGUUUCCCUUUUGCAAUCCCCUAAUUAUUUCUUUUCCUGCAGUCUUGUCUUAAACUCAUUGACAGCCGGAAGAACCACCAGCACCUUUGCUAGCAAAGGGGGAAUUAGGGCCAUCAAUGCAUCCGGGAGGGUGUCAGCAACGUGGUCUCCCAAGAACCAAGUGAGCAACAGCUGCCUGCUGCCGUCUAACUUGCAGUUGAAAAGAACUCAGUGUGGCCCUGUAUUCCUAACUAUCCAAACACUGGGAAGAAGAAAGCCUUUGCAAGUCAUUAUUCUCUAUAUAUACAUCCACUUUCUUCUCUUAGGAGAGCAUGAUAUCAAUAGACCCUACAUAAAAGUUGUAAAAAAUGAAUCAGAGAUGGAGCAUUCACAGAGCUAGAUCUAGAAAUGUGAUUCCAUAGGAAGGAAAAACACACAGGAAUAGGUGGGUCAGAGCUUAAGAACACAUAUUUUCCCCAUCCCCAAUCCCUCUCUUGGAGGUAAACCUUUGACUCAGAAGAGACUCUGUACCAUACAUUCAUUCCCAGUGGAGAAUAUCAGUAUUUCCUGCUGUCUUUUCUGCUAUAAUAUUAUGUGCAGUCUAAGAAACGUUGCAAAUUCUACAAAACUAUGGCAAAUGUCCUGAGUGGGACUAAGAAAUCCUGAACACAGGGCAGUUGUUACAGAUUACCAGUGCUUUAUAGGGUUCUCAUUCAGUGUACAGUAUUUGAAUGAAACAGUAGUUGAAUACGGCUAUUCUCUCUCCUCUCUCCUCCUUGCAAACCUUCUGCCUCAAUAGCGAAUUCUGUGCUUUGAAAGUGUUACCAUUGCACCAGCUUCUCUCCUGCCUUCUCUUGGUCAUGACCUUCAUCCUGAGACAUUAGUUGGUCAGGUGUCUCCUUGCAUAGAGCUAAGAGCUGACUCACAACUCCAAUUUUCAUUAUUACCCUGAUUGUGAAGGCUUUGACUUCCCUACUUCCAGCUCUGCCGCUUUCUCUGGGCCCUGGAUAUAUUGCUUGCGUCCUCAACUCGCUAAUUUCACUUCAAACUCAUUAUGAGUUCAGAGAAGGAAGAGUGGUUGUAUCAUCCCAGGAGGGCUCAUGGAGGAGGCAGGGCUGGAGCUGUCAUGUUAGGUUUUUCUCUAUCAAAACCUGGCUAGAGCUUUUAUAUUAAGAAAAUGUAUUGAGUUAUUGGAAUUUAGUGUCAUGCCUUGUACACAUCCAGUGUUUCUCAUUAAAUCUGAAUUGCUCAUCUGAGGUCAGUAUUAAGUCCACAGAAAGUUGUGCUUGUUAGAGAAUCACAGAAUAAUGUAGUUUAUGAGAGAGCCUACUAAGAGGCAAAGUGCCCAUCAGGUUCACUGGGGCUCUUGCUGACCUCAGAGCUUGGAAGAAGCUCAUAGCAUGCACUUACUGUGGGCAGACAAUGAUCAGGUAUGCUAUGGGAGGAAAUGGAUAUUCCCAUGAGACAAAUCAUGCUUUACCAAGACAUCUGACUGGAAAUUAGAAAACAGGCUGGGCGCGGUGGCUCAUGCCUGUAAUCCCAGCACUUCGGGAGGCCAAGGCGGGUGGAUCACCUGAGGUCAGGAGUUCGAGACCGGGCUGACCAACAUGGUGAAACGUUUUCUCUACUAAAAAUACAAAAAUUAGCUGGACGUGGUGGCGGGUACCUGUAAUCCCAGCUACUCAGUAGUCUGAGGCAGGAGAACCACUUGAACCCAGGAGGUAAGGGUUGCAGUGAGCUGAGAUCAUGCCAUUGCUCUCCAGCCUGGGCGAUAAGAGCAAAACUCCAACUCAAAAAAAAAAAAAAAAAGAAAAGGAAAAGAAAAAAAAAAGAAAGAAAAGAAAAAGAAAUUAGAAAAAUAAAAUAAACAAGUAAUUAGUGGGGUUCAAGUUUAUCUCAUGGAAGAAAUGCAGAUACACAUAUUGAUAGAUGUUUUUCUAACACUUAAAAAAUAUAUAUAUAUACUAUAAACCCUAUAUUUGUGUCUAUUUCAGGCAUACUGGCCUCAAAACACUCUUCAGCUCUAUUUUCGCCAUGCACUGUCUGUACACCACUUAUAUGCAAAGGAACAUUUUAGUUAGAAGAAAUAGUCAAAGGAAGAAAUAAGCAACAGCUAAUUGGGAAACAGACAUUCUAAAACCAUGAUGAUGAUCAUUUUCAGAGGAGAUAGCCAUGAUUUAAUUGUUCUUUUUCCAGAAACUACCAGUGGAGUGUUUUGCCAGGUGUCCUGAAGCAAAUGCUACCACAAAGCUCCACGUGGAGCAGGACUCCUGUCUCUCCAAAUAUAGCCCCUUUGUGUUGAAGGCCAAGAAAUCCAAUGAUGGAAUGAAACAAUGGAAUUCUGCCCAGAAACUUUUAUAAAUAAUGAUCCCUUUGAUAAAAAUUGACUAGUAAGGAAACCACAAUUGCUCUUUUAGCAGUAAUUGUUUAAGAUAUUUGAUUAUAAAUGAACAACACAUGGUAGUCUGUGACCAAAACUAUUCUCAUUUAUUUUUUAAAUUUUAUUUUGUUUUAUUUUAAGUUCCAGGAUACAUGCGUAGGAUAUGUAGAUUUGUUAUAUGGGUAAAUGUGUACCAUGGAGGUUUGCUGCACCUAUGAACCCAUCACCUAGGUAUGAAGCCCCACAUGCAUUAGCUAUUUAUCCUGAUGUUCUCCCUUCCCUCUCCCCCACUCCCUGACAGGCCCCAGUGUGUGUUGUUUCCCUCCCUGUGUCCAUGUGUUCUCAUUGUCCAGCUCCCACUCAUAAGUGAGAGCAUGCUUGUUUGGUUUUCUGUUCCUGCAUUAGUUUGCUGAGGAUAAUGUCUUCCAGCUCCAUCCAUGUCCCUGCAAAGGACAUGAUCUCGUUUCUUUUUAUGGCUGCAUAGUAUUCCAUGGUGUAUAUGUACCACAUUUUCUUUAUCCAUUGUAUCCUUGAUGGACAUUUGGGUUAAUUCCAUGUCUUUGCUAUUGUGAACAGUGCUGCAGUGAACAUACAUGUGCAUGUAUCUUUAUAACAGAAUGAUUCAUAUUCCUUUGGGUAUAUAUAUACGUAAUAAUGGGAUUACUCGGUCAAAUGGUAGUUCUGCUUUUAGGUCUUUGAGGAAUUGCCACACUGUCUUCCACAAUGAUUGAACUAAUUUGCAUCCCCACCAACUGUGUAAAGGCAUUUCUUUUUUUCUGCAACCUCACCAACAUCUGUUGUUUCUUGACUUUUUAAUAAUUGCUAUUCUGAGUGGCAUGAGAUGGUAUCUCAUUGUGGUUUUGAUUUGCAUUUCUUUAAGGAUCAGUGAUGUUGAGCUUUUUUUCAUAUGUUUGCUGGCAGCAUAAAUGUCUUCUUUUGAGAAAUGUCUGUUCAUGUCCUUUGCCCACUUUUUUCUUCUUUCUUUUUUUUUUUUUUUGUUUCUUUUUUGAGAAGGAGUCUCACUCUGUUGCACAGGCUGGAGUGCAGUGGCACAAUCUUGGCGCACUACAACCUCCACCUUCUGGGUUUGAGUGAUUCUCCUGCCUCAGCCUCCCGAGUAGCUGGGACUGCAGGCAUGUACCACCACUCCUGGCUGAUUUUUGUAUUUUUAGUAGAGACAGAGUUUCACCAUGUUGGCCAGGCUGGUCUCGAACUCCUGACCUCAAGAGAUCCACCCACCUUGGCCUCCCAAAAUGCUGUGAUUACAGGCGUAAGCCACCAUGCCCAGUCCUUUGCUCACUUUUUAGCGGGGUUGUUUGUUUUUUUCUUGUAAAUUUGUUUAAGUUCCUUGUAGAUUCUGGAUAUUAGACCUUUGUCAGAUGGAUAGAUUGCAAAAAUUUUCUCCCAUUCUGUAGUUUGUCUGGUCACUUUGAUGAUAGUUUAUUUUGCUGUGCAGAAGCUCUUUAGUUUAAUUAGAUACCAUUUGUUAAUUUUUGCUUUUGUUGCAAUUGUUUUUGAUGUUUUUGUCAUGAAAUCUUUGCCCAUGGCUAUGUCUUGAAUGUUAUUGCCUAGAUUUUCUUCUAGGGUUUUUAUAGUUUUGGGUUUUACAUUUAAGUAUUUAAUUCAUAUUGAGUUAAUUUUUGUAUAAGAUAUAAGGAAGGGGUUCAGUAUUAAUUUUCUGCAUAUAGCUAGUCAGUUUUCCCAGCACCAUUUAUUAAGUAGGGAAUCCUUUCCCCAUUGCUUGUUUUUGUCAGCUUUGUUGAAGAUCAUAUGGUUGUAGAUGUGCAGUCUUAUUUCUGGGAUCUUUAUCCUGUUCCAUUGGUCUAUGUAUCUGUUUUUGUACCAGUACCAUGCUGUUUUGGUUACUGUAGCCUUGUAGUAUAGUUUGAAGUCAGGUAGCUUGCUGUCUCCAGCUUUGUUCUUUCUGCUUAGGAUUGUCUUCACUAUACAUGCUCUUUUUUGGCUCCAUACAAAUUUUAAAGCAGUUUUUUCUAAUUCUGUGAAGAAUGUCAAUGGUAGUUUAAUGGGAAUAGCAUUGAAUCUAUAAAUUGCUUUAAGCAGUAUGGCCAUUUUCACAAUAUUGAUUAGAAGAUUCUCAUUUUUAUGUGUGCUUCCCAAAGGAAGAAGUGAUGGGUAUAAGAUAAGCACAGAAGGAUUAAUAUAAAAUCUAUGAUCUUUACACAUAUCUCAGACUUUAGUAGAUAUAGGAUCUACCUCCAAGAUGCAGAUGGAGAGAAUGUGUGCCAACUUUUAAACUGGAUCAUAAGGCUCCCCAAAUACCUUACUGCUUAUCCUCCAAAUGGAUGGCAAGACCUGCCUGCAGGUUUCCAUAGAACCCUGUGCUUUAAUAUGUCUUAAGACUUACAGAGGGUAUUAUAAUUGCUGUUAUUUCUUGUCUACUCCAUGCAGGGAGAGUCUAUGCCCUUUGUUUCUUUAUGCUCAGUAUUUAGUAUAGUUCAUAGCACAUAGUAGGUACUUGCUAAUAAUAAACAAAUCUUGAUUCAGAAGGUAUAUGCUUAUUCUGUAUAAAGUGUCCUGCUAGUUACCGUGGAGGACACGGAGAUGUAAAAGAUAUGAGACUCUACCUAAUCCAAGAUUUAUCUCCAGGCUUAUAUGGAACAUUUCUGCUUAACUCAUUCUGGAUUUUUAUCUGUCAGUUCUUCGUGUGCUUAGUGACUGCAGUAAAGUAAGUGCUCAUUAAAUGUAUGGUGAAGGAAUGAAGAAAUGUACCUACCUGGCAGUCUUGAUUAAUUUGACAUCAAAAGCUUGGGACUGCUGUGGCUCAUGCCUAUAAUCCCAGUACUUUGGGAGGCUGGGGCAAGAAGAUCACUUGAAGCCAGGUGUUCAAGACUAGCCUGGGCAACAUAAUGAGACCUCAUCUCUACAACAACAACAAAAGCUUGGGGCUAAUAGCUCUCACUGUAUGAAUGAAAUCCUCCAACCUCUCACAGGCUGUUUCCUCAGCCAGUUGUGUUCAACACUCUUAAUAUUUAACUGCAGCAUGGAUCCCUGAAGCAGGUACUAACAAUAUGGAUUUUGUUCACCAUUGCAUUCUCAGCCUCGAACCCAUGGUAGAUGAUCAGUAAAUCUUUGCCAGAUGAAUGAAGUUGUUAAUGUUUCCUUUUUAGCCUAUAUAGAGGAGAUGCUAAAAGUAAACAAAUAACUAUGAUGGAAAAUAAAGAGUUAAAGAGAAGUAAAACAAAGUGUUUUAGGGGGUUCACUUGUGGGCAAGGCAAUGUCUCGUGGGGGUAAAAUAUACUUGUAAAUAAAAUGUAUCAAUUUUUAUAUUAUUUAGGGUAGAUCUUAGAAUGUCAGAAGGUGUGGCUAUCAGGGAGGACAUUAACUUAUAUAUUUUUAAAACUCAUGCAUUAAAGUUACAGAAUUCUUUGAUUCAGAGAUGUGGAGUUUAAAAGUUACAUAGAAUUCUUAUCUGUAUGUCCACAGGGAAAAUCCAGUAUUUUAAAGGGUUUUUAUUACAUGGAAUGUUGACAGAUGUUUCUUUUCAAGAUUUAGAAGUGAAGGGCUUCAAAAUCUAAUUAUAUGAAAUUAAUGUAAAGCACUAAAACACAUUCCUACAAGAGUUUAAAGUGUUUUGGUAUCUGAAAAUAGACCCUAUGUCUUUUCAGAACUAAAAGCCAUCUAAAUGAAUAAACUCUUUAAGAGAAAUAAUUUUACUUUUAACAAUAAUUAUAUUUAAUAUAUGAUGUAAAUAAAAUAGAAACCAUCAAAGCAAUUCCUAAAACAUUUGCUAACCAUGUAGACAUCUAUGGCUCAGUAACAAGAUCUAAAACCUCAGAAGUAAGGGCCUUCGGCCUGUGCUGUGUCUGCAGUGAGUGGAUUUCAUAACGUGGGAAAGUCCACACAGUUUUCUUCCUUGUUGAUGAAAAAAUGAGCUACAUUAGAAAAUUGCCUUUCAUUGUGCCAAGUCAUCUGCAAAUCUUGUUAAAAUGUAGGCUCUGAUUGAGUAGGUGUAGGGUGGGGCCUGAGAUUCUGCAUUUCCAAGAAGCUCCUGGUGAUGUCACACUGCUGGUUCUUGACCUCACCUUGAGUAAUGUAGAAUUUGAAGUCUCCUAAGAGUCCUGCUGCCCCAGGGUCCUAGGUGAGGUUUCCAGGGUUCUAGUAUGAAGACCUUGUCAUCAGACAUCAACUGGGAUGAUGGUUCAACUACAGAAGGUGUCUAUAAGACCUUCUCACUGAGUGUGCACAGUGCUUUUCAUUCCUUUACCACUUCAGCUUGAAGGAAUAAUCUCCCUGAUUGUCUUUGACAUACAGCCUACUCCCUUCAUCUCCCCCUGUUUAAGUGCCAGAAUAUAGUGGUACUGAAAUUCCAGUAUAUAACAGAAUAUACCUUGUGUGACUUCAGGCUCUUUGAGGAACCUGGUCAGUACUUGUUACAUCAUCUGUCAAUCAAAACUUCUGAUAAUUUACUGAGCCCUACCAUAUGUCAGAGGCUCUCUGUAUAAUGCAAGGUAUGUGUCACUAUCAUUUAUUUUGCAGAUGAGGACACUGAAGCUAAGACAGAUAAAGUGAAGUCUAGGGUCACCCAGCCAUGAAGAGGAGCCAGGUUUUGAAUCAUAGUCUCACUGGUGCCCAAGCUUUGGUCUUUCUGAUAUACCACACUGCCUCUCUGAGGGAGACACUAGGCUGGAUCAAGAGAAAGGUUCAAAGAUGUGCGUGGGAUAUUGUGGGUUUCAAGAAGUUUUUCAUAUAAGAGCAAUAAGAGAUGACAAAAAAGCAACACAGAGUGAAAGGCCCAAUGACUAUGCCAGAAAUAAGUUUCAUGGGAAUGAGGAGGAAGGAGGAGGUGGCGUACACAUGAGGGGCCUGGGAAGGUAUCCUAGAGAAGGGGGCCUCUGAGUCAGGUCUUGAAAAAUGAGUGGGAAUUGAAGGAGUGAGAAGAGAGCCUCACAGGCUGUGAGAGCAGGGGUGGACUCUCCUUCCAAACAUGAAUGAUUUCAAAGGUUUUUAAGGUGACAACAAGAAAGGCUACCAUGAUGGGCCUUUAAUGCCAGACUGAAGAAUCUGGACAUUGUCCUUUUACCAGUGGGGGAAGCUCUUGAUAUUUUAAAAUAGUAUCAGAAUGAUAUUGUAGAAGGAACAAUAUAUCAGAACUAUACUUUAGGAGAUUAAUCUGAGAGCCAUAUAUGCAAACAACUAGAGCAGGAAGACAGGAGGUUAGUUUCCUCAUCUGUAAAUUGAAGAAAAAACAGUAACUACCUCAUAGGUUUGUUUGUAGAAUUAGAUGAGAUAAAGCCAGGCACAGCAACUCAUGCCCGUAAUUCCAACAUUUUGGGAGGCCGAGGUGGGAGGAUUGCUUGAGUGUAGGAGUUCAAGACCAGAGUGGGCAACAUGGCCAAAAAUACAAACAUUAGCUAGGUAUGGUGGGGGUGGCACACGCCUGUGGUCCCAGCUACUUGGGAGGCUGAAGUGGGAAGAUCACCUGGGCCCAGGGAGGUCAAGGCUCCAGUGAGCCAUGAUCACGCCACUGCACUCCAGUCUGGGCAACAGAGUGAGACCUUGUCUCAAAAAACAGAAAAAUUAAAUUAAAUGUAAAAAUUUGAAAGAAAAGAAUUAGGUGAGAUAUAUGUAUGUAAAGCCCUUAGCAUAGUGCCUGACACAUACAUGUUCAAAAACGUGAGCUAUCAUUACUUCAGCAUUCUAGUCAUGAUGGUGAAUGAGCCCAAAUUCUGUAUUUAUUUACAUUUAACAAAUAUUAUUGUCAGUUCUUCAUUUUAGAGUCUCUUAGUACAGUUCCAGGCCAUGGAAGUUACUCAGCAUCAGGUAGUGUUGCUGUUAUCAUCAUUAUUUCCCUCUUGCACUCUUCCUCCAGGUAGGUAUGAAUUUGUUUCAUCUCUUCUCUGACUUUAAUUAUUAUCAGGGGGUACAAUGACUUUCCUUUGCCUUAAUGUUGCCUCAUUGCUUGUGUCAGUCCUUCCUCCUUUAAUUCUACUCCAAUUAUCCAUAAGAAGCCUUUCUGAACAUGCUUCCUGCCUGCAGGCACAAGUAUAUGAAGGAAGGGCUAUAAUUCUGAGAAAAAUUUAAGAAGAAAUGGGCAAGUCCAGUCUUUCUAAGAAAAAGAAACUCAAGGUGGAGGCCGGGCGCAGUGGCUCACACCUGUAAUCCCAGCACUUUGGGAGGCUGAGGCGGGCGGAUCACGAGGUUAGGAGAUCGAGACCAUCCUGGCUAACACGGUGAAACCCUGUCUCUACCAAAAAUACAAAAAUAUUAGCCAGGCAUGGUGGGGGGUGCCGGUAGUCCCAGCUACUCAGGAGGCUGAGGCAGGAGAAUGGCAUGAACCCGGGAGGCUGAGCUUGCAGUGAGCCAAGAUCACACCACGGUUCUCCAGCCUGGUCAACAGAGCGAGACUCCGUCUCAAAAACAAAAGAAAAAAGAAAAA